ACGGGAGGCAGCAGUGGGGAAUAUUGGGCAAUGGGCGAAAGCCUGACCCAGCAACGCCGCGUGAAGGAAGAAGGUCUUCGGAUUGUAAACUUUUUUUAUGGGGGACGAAGGACGUGACGGUACCUCAUGAAUAAGCCACGGCUAACUACGUGCCAGCAGCCGCGGUAAUACGUAGGUGGCAAGCGUUAUCCGGAUUUGCUGGGUGUAAAGGGCGCGUAGGCGGGGAUGCAAGUCAGAUGUGAAAUCUAUGGGCUUAACUCAUAAACUGCGUUUGAAACUGUAUCUCUUGAGUGUCGGAGAGGUAGAUGGAAUUCCUUGUGUAGCGGUGAAAUGCGUAGAUAUAAGGAAGAACACCAGUGGCGAAGGCGAUCUACUGGACGAUAACUGACGCUGAGGCGCGAAAGCGUGGGGAGCAAACAGGAUUAGAUACCCUGGUA
Molecule: ribosomal RNA, 437 nt
Rfam family: Bacterial small subunit ribosomal RNA